CACUCCUGCGGGAGGCAGCAGUGGGGAAUAUUGGACAAUGGGCGCAAGCCUGAUCCAGCCAUGCCGCGUGAGUGAUGAAGGCCCUAGGGUUGUAAAGCUCUUUCACCGGUGAAGAUAAUGACGGUAACCGGAGAAGAAGCCCCGGCUAACUUCGUGCCAGCAGCCGCGGUAAUACGAAGGGGGCUAGCGUUGUUCGGAUUUACUGGGCGUAAAGCGCACGUAGGCGGACUAUUAAGUCAGGGGUGAAAUCCCGGGGCUCAACCCCGGAACUGCCUUUGAUACUGGUAGUCUUGAGUUCGAGAGAGGUGAGUGGAAUUCCGAGUGUAGAGGUGAAAUUCGUAGAUAUUCGGAGGAACACCAGUGGCGAAGGCGGCUCACUGGCUCGAUACUGACGCUGAGGUGCGAAAGCGUGGGGAGCAAACAGGAUUAGAAACCCGGGUAGUCCCA
Molecule: ribosomal RNA, 447 nt
Filed under: uncultured organism
Description: partial 16S ribosomal RNA
Rfam family: Bacterial small subunit ribosomal RNA
Source: RNAcentral